CAGUCGCCGCGGGAAUACAGAGGGUGCAAGCGUUAAUCGGAAUUACUGGGCGUAAAGCGCGCGUAGGUGGUUUGUUAAGUUGGAUGUGAAAGCCCCGGGCUCAACCUGGGAACUGCAUCCAAAACUGGCAAGCUAGAGUACGGUAGAGGGUGGUGGAAUUUCCUGUGUAGCGGUGAAAUGCGUAGAUAUAGGAAGGAACACCAGUGGCGAAGGCGACCACCUGGACUGAUACUGACACUGAGGUGCGAAAGCGUGGGGAGCAAACAGGAUUAGAUACCCGUGUAGUCCCUGUCUCUUAUAA
Molecule: ribosomal RNA, 301 nt
Filed under: uncultured bacterium
Lineage: Bacteria
Description: partial 16S ribosomal RNA
Rfam family: Bacterial small subunit ribosomal RNA
Source: RNAcentral